Molecule: ribosomal RNA, 990 nt
Filed under: uncultured bacterium
Lineage: Bacteria
Description: bacterial SSU rRNA
Rfam family: Bacterial small subunit ribosomal RNA
Source: RNAcentral
AUGCAAGUCGAACGGAAUAGUAUGGUAGCAAUAUUAGACUAUUUAGUGGCGAACGGGUGCGUAACACGUGGACGACAUUCCGAAAAGCGGGGAAUAGCCCAGGGAAACUUGGAUUAAUGCCCCAUGUGGUCGUAAGACCAAAGGCGCAAGCCGCUUUUUGAUUGGUCCGCGGCCUAUCAGCUUGUUGGCGGGGUAAUGGCCCACCAAGGCUACGACGGGUAGCUGGUCUUAGAGGACGACCAGCCACACUGGAACUGAGACACGGUCCAGACACCUACGGGUGGCAGCAGUCGAGAAUCUUUCACAAUGGGCGAAAGCCUGAUGGAGCGACGCCGCGUGGAGGAUAAGGUCUUCGGAUUGUAAACUCCUGUCAUGCGAGAACAAAGCCUCACGGCCUGAUAGUAUCGCAAGAGGAAGAGACGGCUAACUCUGUGCCAGCAGCCGCGGUAAUACAGAGGUCUCAAGCGUUGUUCGGAAUUACUGGGCGUAAAGGGUGCGUAGGCUGCGUGGAAAGUCGGAUGUGAAAUCCGGGGGCUCAACCUCCGAAUUGCAUACGAUACUGCCACGCUAGAGUUCUCAAGGGGGGUCUGGAAUUCUCGGUGUAGCAGUGAAAUGCGUAGAUAUCGAGAGGAACACUAGUGGCGAAGGCGAGACCUUGGGGAGAUACUGACGCUGAGGCACGAAGGCUAGGGUAGCAAACGGGAUUAGAUACCCCGGUAGUCCUAGCAGUAAACGGUGCGCGUUUGGUGUGGGGGGUGACCCCCUCCGCGCCGAAGUUAACACGAUAAACGCGCCGCCUGGGAAGUACGGUCGCAAGACUAAAACUCAAAGAAAUUGACGGGGACCCGCACAAGCGGUGGAGUAUGUGGCUUAAUUCGAUGCAACGCGAAGAACCUUACCUAGGCUUGACAUGCAUUCUGUCAUUAAUGAAAAUUAAUUAGUGUAGCAAUACACAGUUUGCACAGGUGCUGCAUGGCUGUCGUCAGCUCG